RNAcentral lists this ribosomal RNA (432 nucleotides) under uncultured bacterium. Its description in RNAcentral is "partial 16S ribosomal RNA". It matches the Rfam family "Bacterial small subunit ribosomal RNA", at positions 29 to 507 of the family's 1533-position model. The record is from RNAcentral.
ACGAACGCUGGCGGCAGGCCUAACACAUGCACGUCGCGCGGACCCUUCGGGGUUAGCGGCGGACGGGUGAGUAACGCGUGGGAAUAUGCCCUUCUCUACGGAAUAGUCCUGGGAAACUGGGGGUAAUACCGUAUACGCCCUUUGGGGGAAAGAUUUAUCGGGGAAGGAUUAGCCCGCGUUGGAUUAGGUAGUUGGUGGGGUAAUGGCCUACCAAGCCGACGAUCCAUAGCUGGUUUGAGAGGAUGAUCAGCCACACUGGGACUGAGACACGGCCCAGACUCCUACGGGAGGCAGCAGUGGGGAAUCUUAGACAAUGGGGGCAACCCUGAUCUAGCCAUGCCGCGUGAGUGAUGAAGGCCUUAGGGUUGUAAAGCUCUUUCAGCUGGGAAGAUAAUGACGGUACCAGCAGAAGAAGCCCCGGCUAACUCCGUG